CUGACUACAUCACCUCAGACCUGGACAGCUGGGAUCACAAUCAAGCUAGCACCACCGUGGGCAGGACAGACAGACAGAAAGACAGCUCAGGCCUGCGCUGGAAGCAGAAACUGAAUUCUCCUGGCCCGCCGCGAGGAGACCAGCGUCCUGCCCCCACCCCAGCCUUUGGCUGGACAGCCUAGGGUUUAGGACGUCUCAGACGGACAGACAGACAGACAGGCAAACCGCAUCUCCGGAGGCAGACAG
Dama dama (fallow deer) is the source of this 246-nucleotide long non-coding RNA. RefSeq lists it as uncharacterized. The record is from RefSeq and is a predicted model, not a curated record. NCBI's taxonomy places the organism in Eukaryota, Metazoa, Chordata, Mammalia, Artiodactyla, Cervidae. The transcript has 3 exons.